CCUACGGGGGGCAGCAGUGAGGAAUAUUGGUCAAUGGCCGGGAGGCUGAACCAGCCAAGUCGCGUGAGGGAAGACGGCCCUACGGGUUGUAAACCUCUUUUGUCAGGGAGCAAGGUGCAGGUCGGGACCUGCUGUGAGAGUACCUGAAGAAAAAGCAUCGGCUAACUCCGGGCCAGCAGCCGCGGUACUACGGAGGAUGCGAGCGUUAUCCGGAUUGAUGGUGCUUAAGGGGUGCGCAGGCGGAGGCACAAGUCAGCGGUAAAGUCACGGGGCUCAACCCCGCUCCGCCGUUGAAACUGUGUCGCUUGAGUGCGCGAAGGGUAGGCGGAAUGCGUGGUGUAGCGGUGAAAUGCAUAGAUAUCACGCAGAACUCCGAUCGCGAAGGCAGCCUACCGGCGCGCAACUGACGCUCAUGCACGAAAGCGUGGGUAUCGAACAGGAUUAGAUACCCGUGUAGUC
Molecule: ribosomal RNA, 459 nt
Filed under: uncultured bacterium
Lineage: Bacteria
Description: partial 16S ribosomal RNA
Rfam family: Bacterial small subunit ribosomal RNA
Source: RNAcentral